GAUGAACGCUGGCGGCGUGCCUAAAACAUGCAAGUCGAGCGGCAGCACGGUCUUCGGACUGGUGGCGAGCGGCGGACGGCUGAGUAACGCGUAGGAACAUACCCCAAAGUGAGGGAUAAGCACCAGAAAUGGUGUCUAAUACCGCAUGUGGUCUAAGGAUUAAAGCUUCGGCGCUUUGGGAAUGGCCUGCGUCUGAUUAGCUUGUUGGUGAGGUAAUGGCUCACCAAGGCGACGAUCAGUAGCUGGUCUGAGAGGAUGAUCAGCCAGACUGGGACUGAGACACGGCCCAGACUCCUACGGGAGGCAGCAGUGGGGAAUCUUGGACAAUGGGGGAAACCCUGAUCCAGCGAUGCCGCGUGUGUGAAGAAGGCCUUCGGGUUGUAAAGCACUUUAGGUGGGGAAGAAAGGUAAUGAGUGAAUAACUGAUUGCUUUGACGGUACCCGCAGAAUAAGCACCGGC
RNAcentral lists this ribosomal RNA (460 nucleotides) under uncultured bacterium. Its description in RNAcentral is "partial 16S ribosomal RNA". It matches the Rfam family "Bacterial small subunit ribosomal RNA", at positions 28 to 497 of the family's 1533-position model. The record is from RNAcentral.